AACGGGGGGGGCAAGUGUUAUUCAUCAUGACUGGGCGUAAAGGGCGCGCAGACGGUUACCGGAAGCUUAAGAUUAAAACUCCACUGAAGGUGGUCUCUUCUUUUGAACUGGUAGAAGCGGUUAAAUAUUUAUUUAACUGGUCGCUUAUAUAUGUAAAAAUAUAUAGGUUCUAGAGUACAGCUAAAGGUAAUGGAACUCCCAGUGUAGAGGUGACAUUCAUUGAUACUGGAGGGG
This 234-nucleotide ribosomal RNA is filed under the name uncultured prokaryote. Its description in RNAcentral is "partial 16S ribosomal RNA". The record is from RNAcentral.